This is an unclassified non-coding RNA of Myotis lucifugus (little brown bat), 344 nucleotides long. Its record names the gene 7SK. It matches the Rfam family "7SK RNA". Rfam says of the family: 7SK was discovered as an abundant small nuclear RNA in the mid-70s but a possible function has only recently been suggested. The record is from Ensembl. NCBI's taxonomy places the organism in Eukaryota, Metazoa, Chordata, Mammalia, Chiroptera, Vespertilionidae.
GGAUGUGAGGGCGAUCUGGCUGCGACAUCUGUCACCCCAUUGAUCGCCAGGGUUGAUUCGGCUGAUCUGGCUGGCUAGGCGGGUGUCCCCCUCCUCCCUCACCGAUCCAUGUGCGUCCCUCCCGAAGCUGCGCGCUCGGUCGAAGAGGACGACCUUCCCCCCCGAGGAGAGGACCGGUCUUCGGUCAAGGGUAUACGAGUAGCUGCGCUCCCCUGCUAGAACCUCCAAACAAGCUCUCAAAGAGUCAACACAGAUUCUAGUUAAAAUAGAAUGUUAUCUAGGAGUUCAUGCCUGUGUGGGACUUACCUAUAUGUGGAGCCUUGUAUGAGAACAUUCCAAAUCAU